Long non-coding RNA from Cygnus olor (mute swan), 2166 nucleotides. RefSeq lists it as uncharacterized. Lineage: Eukaryota; Metazoa; Chordata; Aves; Anseriformes; Anatidae. The record is from RefSeq and is a predicted model, not a curated record. The transcript is spliced from 2 exons.
UCUUCUGCAUACCUCUUGAUAAAGAUAGUAGAAAAUUAUUUGCCUUCGAAUGGGAAAACAUAUUGAAGUUUUUGGACCACAUAUGGUAACAACCCUUUUAGAACAAAAGGGGGGGGGCACUGGUUAUCACCCAGCCGGAUGAUGAAAUAUCAGGCAAUACUAACUGAACAAGAUGACGUAACCUUGAAAACGACUAACCUGUUAAAUCCAGCAGUAUUUCUAGGAACUGUUCCAGAAGAAGGACCGUUGGAACACAAUUGUGUGGAAAUAAUCGAACAUACGCCAGCCGCAAAGAUUUGAAGGAUGUACCCCUUGAAAGUUUUUCCAGGAGCUGGAUCACCCCGAAGGGCUGAAUGGUAACACAAGCUCUGAAAGCGGGCCCAACCCCAUGAUUGAAGGCGUCUCCCACACUCUCAAGAUUGGACGGCGCAAAAGGAUAAGAAAUGCUAUACUUCCUGGUAUUGUUUUUACAAGGGCAAUUGGGCCAUGGGCAGGAAUGGAGGAAUAACUUUUUUACUUUGGGGGAGGAAGUGGCCAAGGUCUUUAACCUUAGUAACUGCUGGAUUUGUGGAGGACCGGGGGGGAACUGAAAGUUGGCCCUGGGUAGCAGGCCCGGUCGAACCCAAGUGGUGGGUCAGUAAUUUGAGCGAAGUUCAUAAUGGGAUGCAAUUUUGGAAAGAGGAAGGAGGCCCAUGGCAGUUGCACUCGUCAGCUCGGGGUGUAUACUGCUUGAACAGAACAGGAACAGUGGCGGUGGGAAAAAGCAUUUACAAUUGGACUCUGUCCCCCAGAUAUGAUUGUACCAAUCCUGGAUGUAGUCCUAUAAACUGUACAGGCACGUAGUGGGAAAUGGAACGCCACACAUGUUCAGCUGAGAAAUGGGACUUGGCUGAAAUGCUCAUAUAGGGAAUUUUUUGGAUCCGGAUGUGAAACUGUGGCAAGAGCACAAGCAGGGGGAUAAUUCGAUGGUCAAAUCUUGAGCUGUCAGCGUGAUAACACCACUAAGGAACAGCAUGUGGUGCGGGUCUAUCGUUGGAAAUGGCAGGAUGAGAAUGGGAGGCGAGUGUUCUUUAAACAUUUCUGGUCAGCUUAUAAUAUGACAGGCCGCCAAGGAGAACUGAAUUGUGACUGUAAGUGGAAACCCGAUGCGGGAGCUUGGAAGUGCGCAUAUACGCGUACAAAUGGGGCAGACAUUGUAACAGGACCACUCGGUAACAAGGACACUCUGUAUUAUCACGCCCCAAAGGGUAAAGAGGGAUGGGAUGGUCCUUUUCCAAACGGGACGUGGGCCCUAAAGGGACAUUAUUGGGUGUGUGGCAAACAUGCUUACAAGAGGCUACCCGGAAACUGGUUGGGAAUAUGCUAUGUGGGGUACAUAAGACCCUUGUUCUUUUUAUUGUCACAAACACAAGGAAAUCAUUUAGGAAUAAGAUUAUAUGAUGACCUGAACAGAAUGAAACGAUCUAUUGAUACUUCCUUAGCCAGGGGUAGUGCCCAAAAAUGGGGAAAGGAUGAAUGGCCUCCUGAAAGAAUCAUACAGCAUUAUGGGCCAGCUACCUGGAACCCAAAUGAGUUGGUAUCAGGAGCCCGAGAACCUAUUUAUAAUUUGAAACGAAUAAUUAGGGUGCAAGCUAUCCUCAAAGUUGUAACCAAUUAAACAGCGACGGCCUUGGAUCUUCUGGCUGAUCAAUCCACUCAGAUGAGGAAUGCUAUCUUUCAACAUAGAAUGGUCUUAGACUAUUUACUAGCAGAAGAAGGGGGAGUGUGUGGAAAACUGAACGAUUCUAAUUGUUGUUUACAGAUUGAUGAUAAUGGAAAAGUGGUUAAACAGAUAACAAAGGAAAUUAGGAAGUUAGCCCACGUCCCAGUACAAACUUGGAAGGGUAUGGAUUGGGAUUUCUUUUCAUGGUUGCCCGGUGGACCAUGGGUUAAAAGGAUGCUAUUUUUAUUUCUAUGUGGUGUAAUGACAUUAUUGUUUAUACCUUGUAUGAUACCUUGCUUUACAUUGUUGGUACGGCGAGUAAUAAAUAGCACCCAAUUUGUGAUGACUUUGGUAGAGAAAAAAGGUGAUGUGUCAAUAAUGAUGCUUAAGAAAUGGACUCCCUGAGAACUGACUGAUGAAAUCCAGUUGUUACUAACAAAGGUUGAAGAAGAGACACGAAUUGA